Molecule: ribosomal RNA, 500 nt
Filed under: uncultured bacterium
Lineage: Bacteria
Description: partial 16S ribosomal RNA
Rfam family: Bacterial small subunit ribosomal RNA
Source: RNAcentral
GAUGAACGCUGGCGGCAUGCCUUACACAUGCAAGUCGAACGGCAGCACGGGAGCAAUCCUGGUGGCGAGUGGCGAACGGGUGAGUAAAGUAUCGGAACGUGCCCAGUCGUGGGGGAUAACGUAGCGAAAGUUACGCUAAUACCGCAUACGAUCUAUGGAUGAAAGCGGGGGAUCGCAAGACCUCGCGCGAUUGGAGCGGCCGAUAUCAGAUUAGGUAGUUGGUGGGGUAAAGGCUCACCAAGCCGACGAUCUGUAGCUGGUCUGAGAGGACGACCAGCCACACUGGGACUGAGACAUGGCCCAGACUCCUACGGGAGGCAGCAGUGGGGAAUUUUGGACAAUGGGCGAAAGCCUGAUCCAGCCAUGCCGCGUGCAGGAUGAAGGCCUUCGGGUUGUAAACUGCUUUUGUACGGAACGAAAAGGUUUGGCCUAAUAAGCUGAGCUCAUGACGGUACCGUAAGAAUAAGCACCGGCUAACUACGUGCCAGCAGCCGCGGUAA